CGGCAGCGCUUGUCCUCGCUUCACGAUCUUCAGCACAUGCAUUCCAUGCCCGGACACUCAGUACCUGCCAGGCUCUGAUCUGCGACCAAGGACACCCAGAUAAGGAGAAGUUGCAAAGCCCUUAGAACAACGCCUGGAAGGUCGUUCGUGUCACGGAGCUGUGUGCUUUGCUGCUCACCACACACCGUCAACCUGUGGAGCUGCUUGAGGGGCGAGAGAGACCCAGAGGAACAAGAUCAGUUCCCGGCUAAGUGCAAGGGAGCGCAGCAGGUCACCCACCCUUCGACUUCAGCAAGGCCCAGGGCUGUGAGAGCACAGGGACUUCCGGAGGCUGCACUUGGACCAGCCCAGCUUUAGAGUUUGGGCUCCAAGCUCUAAUCCAGGGGGAAAAGAAGCUACUGUCUUUUUAUGUUCCUGAAAACUGAAUUCUCUGUGCAAAGCAGAACUGUGUGAGCGAAACCAAAGUGAGAUUACAGGCAGAGGAGAUGGAGCGAGAUCGCCCAGGAAGGCGGACAGUGGUGCUGAACCGCCCCUACCACGCAGAGCUGAAGAAGACACUUGUUGAAAAUAUUAAGUGACCUGGAACUUGCUUUAGCCUGGUGUGGUUCAUUUUCCAGUUACCACUCAGGAAAAGCAGCAGGUGGAGGCAGCGGACAAGGACCCGUCCACAAAGAACGACUGUGAGGCACAGCUUCUGCCCUUGGCGGCACACCCUUACCCCCUACGGAGCUGGCAUGCUGCUCUCCUGCCUUGGAAGGAGCCCUGUGCUGUGUGUGUCUGGGGCAGACAGUGCUUGUUGGCUGAGA
Chinchilla lanigera (long-tailed chinchilla) is the source of this 806-nucleotide long non-coding RNA. RefSeq lists it as uncharacterized. The record is from RefSeq and is a predicted model, not a curated record. The transcript is spliced from 5 exons. Lineage: Eukaryota; Metazoa; Chordata; Mammalia; Rodentia; Chinchillidae.